This 429-nucleotide small RNA is filed under the name Pan troglodytes (chimpanzee). Its description in RNAcentral is "retained intron". The record is from RNAcentral. Lineage: Eukaryota; Metazoa; Chordata; Mammalia; Primates; Hominidae.
ACACUUGGUUGAUAGAUCAACAGCAAUAGCCCGGAAGAUGGGCUUUCCUGAAAUCAUACUGCCAGGAGAUGUUCGGAAUGACAUUUAUGUCACCCUGAUCCAUGGCGAGUUUGACAAAGGGAAGAAGAAGACGCCAAAGAAUGUGGAGGUGACGAUGUCUGUGCAUGAUGAGGAGGGCAAGCUCUUGGAGGUGCGCAGCGUGGCCCAGAAAUCCUGCUACCAUCACAUCCGUCUUUACAAUCACGAUAGAAUUUUGGCCGUAUUUUAAUUCUUCUUCGCAUCAGGAUUGGUUUGAUUUUUCCUGAGAAAAGAAAUAUAAAGCCUGUUAAAUUUGUGAUUAGCAGUGAGCAGUUUCACUAAGGAAGCUAUCUAGACUCUUCUAGACUCUUAUUUUUAUAUUUCUCCUGUGCUAAGAAAUAGCUCCAGCCA